This is a non-coding RNA of Cicer arietinum (chickpea), 3770 nucleotides long. Lineage: Eukaryota; Viridiplantae; Streptophyta; Magnoliopsida; Fabales; Fabaceae. The record is from RefSeq and is a predicted model, not a curated record.
AAAUAAAGAUUUACAUCAUCAAACCCAAGUUUUACCGGUGCUAAUACGCAACAUUACAAUUACCGUUUUUGAAUCGGGUCAACAAUCCAAAUGCUUGUAUACUAUACAAUACAAUACAAGUUUCCACUUUCCAGAGAGGAAUCGUUGUGGCGGUGUUCAAAACGAAGACAAUAAUUUAACCAUGAAAUCUGCAAGAGAGAAAGAAAACGAACGGUGCAUGAGUUCGCACCAUCGCCGUCUACUCCACGCCUUAAACCUUGGCACCAGACAUUUCGAUGAGAACACAAAUAGAUGGAAGUGGCAGUGCGCAAAUAUUGAAGUUCACAAAAAUGUACUAAGAUCGAUUAAUGCAUUUCUUGAUUCUCUAUCUGGAGAUGCACGUGCGCCACGUCAUACUAUCGUUAAGGAAUCUGCUGCUGAUAUUUUGGGAGCAUUGUUAUGGAUUCUUCAAUGCAAAAGUGAACCCUUGUUAAGCAUGGCAUCAAAUGUGGCAGUUAAGUUGGUUACUGUUUUACCGACUCCACUUCUGCAAUCAGGUUUGUUGGAUCUUGUCUAUUGCCUAUCGUCCUUGCUAUCUUCACAUCAGGUAGAAGUUGCAAUACCCUGUGCUACUGCUUUGAAUUUGAUCAUCUCAAAUGUCAGUGCUACUAGUGAGAAGGCAGUUAUUCAAGCACUGAAAGAAACAGAUAUCUCUAUUUGUAUUGUUGGAAAUAUAAAAGAUUAUUUUACCUGUGGUGUGAAGAAAAUUGAAUAUUUUCUGGAGAUGACUUCACUUUUGAGUACAAUACUGUUGCGGUGGCCUUCAUCCCGGUUCCCUGUUUGUAAUGAUGUUGAACUUAUGAAAGGUUUAGCAAACAUGUAUACAACGACGGAUAGUUCGAUUAAACUUGUUCUUCUAAAGCUGUACACAUCCUUAGCUUUAUGUGAUUCUGUAGCACAAAAACUUAUAGACGGUGGAAAGGUAUUUCUCCAAAUGAUUGUGCAGGCAAUGGGAAAAUCAAACCCUCAUGAUGUUCGGAUAGAAGCGUUUCGGCUUGCUCAAUGUCUAUUGAGAUCCAGAGAAAAUUGUUUAAAAGUGAUGGAUUUGUGUGGUGAAGCUCUUGUUGAUGCCAUACUUUGUGGGAUGAGAGAGACAAAACCGUGUUCCAAAAAAGUUGAGAACAACCAUGGUUCUCUAUUAGUGGAAGCAUGUCAGUUGGCUCUAAUUACUCGUUGGGCUGGUGAUCAUCAUAUCAGGUUUUGGAAACAAGGAAUUGAUAGAGUCCUCCUUAAUCUUCUGAUUGAAAAUAUUCAUGACCAAUCAUCUGAACUUGUCUUGUCAUUGGAAAAACAAAUAUCCAUGGUGAAGGAGGGAUUGAAAGUCAAUUAUCACGUUGCUCUGAGGAGUUAUCUGUGGGACAUUCUUGGGUGGCUUACAAUUCAUUGUGGAGAAAAUUCAAACCCUCAUACCCAUGGAAGUGGGCUCCAUAUCAACUUAUUGAUUCUGUGUGCAUGCUUGACUUUUGUUGAUACAAUCCAAAAAUGGUGCCGGAUAUGUCGAAAGGAUGUUGAUGAUAAUUUUCAAAGCGAACCAGUAUCAAGGGCUGUUCUAAUGAUGAUAUAUUCUCCGUGUAAUCACAUUUCCUCACAUGCUAGAUUUGUAUUAUCUGAUAUACUGAAGGUGAAAGGCGCUUCGUGCUUGAAAAACUUAAUACAUACCCUUGAUUAUAUAUCAUCCCUAGAAAGCUAUGGUUCAUUUGAUAAACUUCAACUUGUCAUUAACUUAUUCGGGUUAACUUGUCUUUCAAGUUUACCAGAGUAUCAAAGAUGUAUCACAGAAGGCAGAGGGAUAAAGGUCGUUGUUCUUCUUGUGCAACGAUGCUUAAGUAAUGAUAUUUAUGUAGAAAGGUCUGAAGUUGCUCCUCAUUUGGAUACAGUACUCCAUAAAAGGUCUUGUUGCUGGGUUGGUAAAGGAGACUGGGAAGGUUCCAAUGUUCUCUUAUUUUAUGGUUUGUGGGGCUUAGCUGAAUUUCUUCAUCAAUGUGGCUUUUUAGAAGACAAACCUCAGCAAUUUACUAGAGAGGUGGUAAACAUUAAAACUCAGUUAGUUGACAAACUUCAUGAGAUUUGUAGUAGCACCUCUUCCAGCCCUGGAGUGAAAUGGUAUGUUUCUUAUAUUCUAAGUUAUUUUGGAUUUUAUGGUUUCCCAAAUGAAUUUUCCAAAAGGAUUGGGAAAUCUCUUAAUAAGGAAGAAUAUGCAGAUUUGCGACUCAUUGUAGCAAAUGGGGAUUCUGUGAGUGUUCAUGGUGUUAUUCUUGCUGUUCAAUGUCCAUCGCUUCUACCUCCUGGAGUGUUAUCUAGUAAUAAGAGUCCUAAAGAAGUAACAGAUUAUUUUGAUGGAGCGACCUUGAGAGAAGUUCGCUAUUCUUCUCAUGUUGAUUAUGAAGCAUUGUUGUUGUUCUUGGAAUAUGUAUAUUUGGGAUGCUUACAUGUGGUAGAAGAAGAAACUGUGAAGAAACUCAAAAUUCUUGCUAAGCGUUGCAAUCUACAGCCUCUCUUGCAAAUGCUUUGCAGACAAUCUCCAAAAUGGGGCACGCCUUUCCCCAGCUUUAAUCUUACUUCAUCUCUCGAUUCAGCUGGAAGUUAUUUUUCAGAUGUCAUAAUGGAAGCUAAAUCAAAUGAGCUUGUUGGAUGGACAUGUGAUAUUUGUUCUCACCCAGUACCGCAUUUGCAUGUUCACAAAGUUAUAUUGCAGUCUGGAUGUGAUUAUUUACAGGGUUUGUUCAGAUCAGGAAUGCAAGAGAGUCAUUCACAAGUUGUUAUGGUUGAUGUUAGCUGGGAAGCAUUGAUUAAACUAGUACAGUGGUUUUAUUCUGACGAUCUGCCAAAUCCCCCGUCUGGUUGUUUGUGGGUUAACAUGGAUGAUCAAGAAAAGCUAUUCAAUUUGCAGCCAUAUGUGGAGCUCUGUUGGCUUGCUGAGUUCUGGAUUUUGGAAAGUAUUCAGGAAGCCUGCUGGAAUGCGAUUAUGUCCUGUCUUGAUUCUUCGAAGCAAUUGUCCGUUAAAAUAAUCAAAAUGGCUUAUAACCUCUCUUUGUGGAAGUUGGUUGACAUUGCUGCAAAUCUUAUGGCUCCUUCAUAUAGGCAAUUACGGGAUUCUGGUGAACUUGAAGAAUUUGAUGAUGCACUAGUUCACUUUAUUUAUUCUGCUUCAAUUGUACUUAACCAUGAAGGUGAAAAUCGAUUUAGGUGAUAUGACUUCAAGAUGAUUUACAGUGCAGGAGAUUCAGGUGUGUUGUAAAAAUAUUUAGGAGCUAAACAUUUUUUCGGCAUGUUAGUUAUGCUGACAUUUCUAAAUUAUUUUUUAUUUUGAAAGUUUUAAGUAGACGUUGAAUAGGAAGUUUUUCGAAGCAACAAUUGUAUGCAGACUUAUGUGGACCCUCUAGAAUAUUCUGAGUGACACACAUACAGAGACAGAUGAUCUUCUGAAGAGGCGCUUGUGGUUAGAGCAAGUCUUGAUCUUAGUCUGCAAUUUUCAAAUAUGUAAAUAACUGCUAGAUCAAAGGAGUUAGGAGAAGGUCCAAUCAGUUUGAGCUGGCGCUGUUGUGAAGACUUUUGUCAAGAUAUGGUAACUCGUAAUUGUUUGCCUCCUUCCAUGGUACCGAAAAGUCUUAGAGCACAUGCUCCGAAUUAUGGAUAUGAUUAUUGUUUCUACUGAGACAUGCAAUGAUUUAGUUUGUUAUUAUUAAGAUAUUAUUCCUUAUUUCCUUAAUUAAGAGAUUCUCCUUGUACAA